UACGGAGGAUGCGAGCGUUAUCCGGAUUUAUUGGGUUUAAAGGGUGCGUAGGCGGCUUAGUAAGUCAGCGGUAAAAUUUUGCAGCUUAACUGUAACAGUGCCGUUGAUACUGCCAGGCUAGGAUUUGGUUGCUGUGGGUGGAAUGUGUGGUGUAGCGGUGAAAUGCUUAGAUAUCACACAGAAUAUCGAUUGCGAAGGCAGCUCACAAAGCCAAGAUUGACGCUGAGGCACGAAAGUGUGGGGAUCAAACAGGA
This 254-nucleotide ribosomal RNA is filed under the name uncultured prokaryote. RNAcentral's name for it is "partial 16S ribosomal RNA". It matches the Rfam family "Bacterial small subunit ribosomal RNA", at positions 524 to 777 of the family's 1533-position model. The record is from RNAcentral.